CAUAGGAUGCACCAAAGGGGAUGGAUGCAUCGGUGCCUGCAAGAUUAGACACAAAUUUCAUCAGAAAAACAGAUAUCAAACAAAGAAAGAACCAGGAGUUGUAACAUAUACUAGAACAAGAAGGAAAAGGCAAACUUACAUCGCAUAUACUGAACCAAGAGCAGUCAGAAGACAAGGCCCUGAUCAUGAAGGCCAUACAGGCUUCCUUCCAGCUCCAACGAGCCAUGGUGGCCAUAAAGGAACUUGUUCAUCCUCCUCGGAAGAGGAAGAGGAAUCGGCCAUGGGCGAGGAGGCUAGAGUAGAGGAUAUCGGGGAUAGAACACGAGCUAGGCGACGCAAACCAAGAGGCUCACGCAAAAGGAGCUG
This 366-nucleotide long non-coding RNA is filed under the name Triticum aestivum (bread wheat). Its description in RNAcentral is "long non-coding RNA (TAES_LNC012737)". The record is from RNAcentral. Lineage: Eukaryota; Viridiplantae; Streptophyta; Magnoliopsida; Poales; Poaceae.